GAUAAGUUUGUGAUAGAUAGAACGAUAUAGUAAUUUUUAUUUUAGAAUAAAUUGAGGUAUUAUGAAUAUUUUGUGUUUUAUGUUGAUGAUUUUUAGAUAUGUUUAUAGUAGAGGAGUAAAAAUAAAAUUAUUAGAUAUUUUAUAUUGAUUAGUUUUUAGUUUAUGGGAUUUUGAUAUUUUUUGAGGUUAAAGUUUUUUUGUAUUGGAAGUAGUUGGGUUUGUAAGGGUUGUUUUGUUUUGAGAUUAUUGAAAUAAGAAUUUAGAAUUUGAGUAUUAUUAUUAAAAAUUAUAAGGUUUAUAUUGAUAUAGAUAUUAAUUUAGAUAGAUAAGAUAAGAUAUUUUUUAGUUUUUUGUUUGAGAUGGAAAAGAUUUUUUUGAGUUGUUUUUUUUGGGGAGUGGGGGGUGGGGUUGGUGGUUAGGUAGGUUUUGGGAAGGAGUUUAGGGUUUGGAAUUGUAUAUGAAAAGAAUUAGUUUUUUGGGUUUUAAGGAAUUAAGUUUUUUUGGAAAUUAAUUUUGUUUGGUUUUAUAGAAUAUUAUGGUUUUUUUAGGUUAGGUUGUUUUUUUUUUUUGUAGUU
RNAcentral lists this unclassified non-coding RNA (575 nucleotides) under Hevea brasiliensis (rubber tree). Lineage: Eukaryota; Viridiplantae; Streptophyta; Magnoliopsida; Malpighiales; Euphorbiaceae. The record is from RNAcentral.